UACGAAGGGGGCUAGCGUUGCUCGGAAUUACUGGGCGUAAAGCGCACGUAGGCGGAUUGUUAAGUCGGGGGUAAAAUCCUGGAGCUCAACUCCAGAACUGCCUUCGAUACUGGCGAUCUCGAGUUCGGGAGAGGUGAGUGGAACUGCGAGUGUAGAGGUGAAAUUCGUAGAUAUUCGCAAGAACACCAGUGGCGAAGGCGGCUCACUGGCCCGAUACUGACGCUGAGGUGCGAAAGCGUGGGGAGCAAACAGG
RNAcentral lists this ribosomal RNA (253 nucleotides) under uncultured bacterium. RNAcentral describes it as "partial 16S ribosomal RNA". It matches the Rfam family "Bacterial small subunit ribosomal RNA", at positions 524 to 776 of the family's 1533-position model. The record is from RNAcentral.